AGUGAACGCUGGCGGUAGGCCUAACACAUGCAAGUCGAACGGAAGCACAGUAAGAGCUUGCUCUUACGGGUGGCGAGUGGCGGACGGGUGAGGCAUACAUCGGAAUCUACUUUUUCGUGGGGGAUAACGUAGGGAAACUUACGCUAAUACAGCAUACGACGUACGGGUGAAAGCAGGGGAUCUUCGGACCUUGCGCGACUGAAUGAGCCGAUGUCGGAUUAGCUAGUUGGCGGGGUAACGGCCCACCAAGGCGACGAUCCGUAGCUGGUCUGAGAGGAUGAUCAGCCACACUGGAACUGAGACACGGUCCAGACUCCUACGGGAGGCAGCAGUGGGGAAUAUUGGGCAAUGGGCGCAAGCCUGAUCCAGCCAUACCGCGUGGGUGAAGAAGGCCUUCGGGUUGUAAAGCCCUUUUGUUGGGAAAGAAAAGCAGCAGGUUAAUACCCCGCUGUUCUGACGGUACCCAAAGAAUAAGCACCGGCUAACUUCGUG
This 492-nucleotide ribosomal RNA is filed under the name uncultured bacterium. RNAcentral's name for it is "partial 16S ribosomal RNA". It matches the Rfam family "Bacterial small subunit ribosomal RNA", at positions 29 to 507 of the family's 1533-position model. The record is from RNAcentral.